Molecule: microRNA precursor, 76 nt
Filed under: Notamacropus eugenii (tammar wallaby)
Lineage: Eukaryota; Metazoa; Chordata; Mammalia; Diprotodontia; Macropodidae
Description: miRNA (ENSMEUG00000017492.1)
Source: RNAcentral
CCGCGUGUGUGCGUGUGUGUGUGUGUGUGUGUGUGUGUGUGUGUGUGUGUGCGGGCGCGCACACAUGCUCAGCUCC